CGUCGCAAGCUUAUCCUGUGAAGGUCCCGUAGUAAGCAAAAUGGGUAACUCCCAAAACGUCAGGUCGAGGUGCAGCCCACGGAGUGGGAAGAAAUGGGCUACAUUUUCUACAACAGAACAUUACGAAUAACGCCAUGAAACUGGUGUUUGAAGGUGGAUUUAGUAGUAAAAAACAAACAGAGAGUCUUUUUGAACCAGGCUCUGAGACGCGUACACACCGCCCGUCACCCUCCCUAUCAAUUAUUAAUUAAAGUAAAUAACCAAACAAAAUCAAAAGCGGGGAGGCAAGUCGUAACAUGG
Molecule: ribosomal RNA, 300 nt
Filed under: Brycon moorei
Lineage: Eukaryota; Metazoa; Chordata; Actinopteri; Characiformes; Bryconidae
Description: partial small subunit ribosomal RNA
Rfam family: Bacterial small subunit ribosomal RNA
Source: RNAcentral